AUGACUCCUGUAUAAAUUGAUCACAUGUCCGAUUAUAAUCGAUAAGUGUUGGAUUAGAAAUGAUAUAAAGUUUUAUUUGGAAUAUUUAUUAUGAAAUUAUGAUUAUCGUUAUAAUACAAAAAUUGAACUUGUGAGUUUAUAUGGCUAAAUUUUGGUGAUUAUUUGUUAAUUUUAUGAAUUUCAUGAUGUGUUAUUUCAUAUGUAUUGAUGAUAAAAUCGUGAAUAAUGUAAAAGCAUGAAAAUUGAAUAAAUGAUCAAAUUGAGCAUUUCAGUUCAGUGACAAGAUUAAUUGAAGGAAAAGACCAUGGUUGGACCAUGGCAACAAGUGAUAAGUGAUAGCUUCGGCUACACUUAUCUGAUCAAGGACAAAUGACAAGUGAAAAGUGGUAGCUUCAGCUACCUGAUCAGUGAAAAGUGGUAGCUUCUGCUACCUGAUCAGUGAAAAGUGGUAGCUCCGGUUACCUGAUCAGUGAAAAAUGGUAGCUCCG
RNAcentral lists this long non-coding RNA (488 nucleotides) under Gossypium barbadense (sea-island cotton). RNAcentral's name for it is "long non-coding RNA (GBAR_LNC006868)". Lineage: Eukaryota; Viridiplantae; Streptophyta; Magnoliopsida; Malvales; Malvaceae. The record is from RNAcentral.